UUGACAACCUCAUGGAUUUGCUGUUUGACCAUGUGGCAAAAGGACUUUGUCCCUAUCAGGAGCUCUUAAGCCAGGUGCUUUUUCCUAAAGACCUCUGUGCUCAUUAUGUUUGACAAAGGCCACAGCAAAUCUUCAGUUACCCCUCAGGAACAACAAAUAAAGCACAAACAAGGUUGCACUAGCAAGAGCCUCCUCCUGCCAUUAUGCUUGCCUUCCCCAGAAAGAGUCUCAACCUGUCCUUAUGGCAGCCUGCAUCAGCAAGAGCCUACUGCUGCCCUCAAGCCUCCCUGCAUCAGGGAACAACAAAUAGUAUAGUAUCCUGUAUAAACCAAUGUAAGAAAUAAAAAUAGUCAGGUAAGGUUUUACUACUUUAUUUUUAAAGCAUAACAUUCAUGAACACACUGCAAAAGUAUAAUCAUCCUCUACCCCACACUAGUAGGCUAUUCAUUCAUCUUCCACUACGUACUUAUUUUUGCAGCACCUGAUUACUUUGCCUAAAACUGUAUAGCAAGAGCCUCCACCUGUUUGCCAGCCACCCAGUCUUUUUUCGGAAAGACAAAUGAGCUAAACAGUUUUGCAUAAGGACUCCAAACACUGUCUCAGAUGACCUUAACGAAAAUCCCCAGGAUAAUUCACUCAUGGUGGUGCCUUUCUGUCAGCAGCAACAUACCACCAAGGACCAUUUCAGCUGAGCUGAAGGAAACAGUGGAUGUAUAAGUAUUCCACAGAGAAAUGUGUCUGUUAGUGAGAGUGGGCAAAUGGGAAUAACUUCCCUAAUUAGUACAACUCUAAAACCUGCAAUUGUCUAUUAAAAUAAACAUAUCCACAAAAUGAAUGAUGCUGCGAUUUGUACAGGUUGCACUAUAUGAUACACUUAAUGUUUAGUUCAAUAAAAUUAUUUGAUUACUCAU
Molecule: long non-coding RNA, 911 nt
Organism: Colossoma macropomum (tambaqui)
Lineage: Eukaryota; Metazoa; Chordata; Actinopteri; Characiformes; Serrasalmidae
Exons: 3
Source: RefSeq, a predicted model, not a curated record